CCCGUCCACGUGAUGGCAGCGUGGGGAGCCGAACCUGCAGUCAAAGAGCUGCGCAAUUCCAUUCUCUCGGCGCUCAAACUUAGUUAGGCAUGGAAACCUCCUGCUGCACGGUCGAUCGACAAAGAUAUAAGGAGAGACUGCGGUCGCCGCGGGGGUAAUCUGAAAUUCCGGCAUCGUCUGUGAAACGCGGCCGUCACGUUUUUCCCUACUGCCUCCACCGGCUCCGACAGAAACGCGCGAGAGGAGUGGCUCCGCAGGAGGCACCUUUGCAGUCACCAGCACCGAAACGUGACUGCAGCUUUGCAAAUGAAUCACCGGCGCGUCGCCGCAACUGAAGGUCACAAACAUGCACUUCAUGUAGUUUAGUUAUUUAAGGUAGCGUCGCAGCGGAUUGUGGCCGUCUUCUUCCGAAAGCUAACGGAUGAUGUUUUAUUUUUGGUCAUACCGAAGCUAUGUACCGAGAGAAAAUAUUCUCCAAGUAAGAUCAAUAACAAACAAAGCAAUAACAAUGAUAAUAAAGGAAAAGAACAUCUUAUCAGAAGUCCGUGACACGUGAGUUUGUUGACAUGCCGAGAGGCAGGAAGUUACAGUGGUAGGCGUAGCUGAGUUAAAAGUGGCACUACACGUGAAUUAAAGCUCCGUCCUGCUCCCCAGUUCACUUCACACAAAGCAGCACAAACAACCCAUCUGUGGGGAUUUCGGUACAAGAUAUAUAAUAUAAUGUAUAACCAGUAACUCAAUUCCAGAAGUUGCAUAAAGUUUGAAGCUGGCUUUGUAUUGUAUAUUGUGCUUCGACUCCAAGUGACUAAACGAAAAGUGCAGUACUUUUGAUUACUACAUUAAAACAUGCGACCAUA
This is a long non-coding RNA of Brienomyrus brachyistius, 857 nucleotides long. RefSeq lists it as uncharacterized. NCBI's taxonomy places the organism in Eukaryota, Metazoa, Chordata, Actinopteri, Osteoglossiformes, Mormyridae. The transcript has 2 exons. The record is from RefSeq and is a predicted model, not a curated record.